AUGUGGUUUAAUUCGAUGAUACGCGAGGAACCUUACCUGGGCUCGAACGUAAGAUGACUGUAGGUGAAAGCUUACAUCUCUUCGGAGCAUUUUACGAGGUGCUGCAUGGUUGUCGUCAGCUCGUGCCGUGAGGUGUCGGUUAAGUCCCAUAACGAGCGCAACCCUACCUUUAGUUGCCAUCAGGUAAUGCUGGGGACUCUAAAGGAACUGCCUACGCAAGUAGUGAGGAAGGCGGGGAUGACGUCAAAUCAGCACGGCCCUUACGUCCAGGGCUACACACGUGCUACAAUGGCCGAUACAGAGGGCAGCUACCUGGUGACAGGAUGCAAAUCUCCAAAGUCGGUCUCAGUUCGGAUCGGAGUCUGCAACCCGACUCCGUGAAGUUGGAUUCGCUAGUAAUCGCGCAUCAGCCAUGGCGCGGUGAAUACGUUCCCGGGCCUU
RNAcentral lists this ribosomal RNA (441 nucleotides) under uncultured Sphingobacteriales bacterium. Its description in RNAcentral is "bacterial SSU rRNA". It matches the Rfam family "Bacterial small subunit ribosomal RNA", at positions 939 to 1382 of the family's 1533-position model. The record is from RNAcentral. Lineage: Bacteria; Pseudomonadati; Bacteroidota; Sphingobacteriia; Sphingobacteriales.